Mauremys mutica (yellowpond turtle) is the source of this 1228-nucleotide long non-coding RNA. RefSeq lists it as uncharacterized. Lineage: Eukaryota; Metazoa; Chordata; Testudines; Geoemydidae. The record is from RefSeq and is a predicted model, not a curated record. The transcript has 3 exons.
CGUGGGAGACAGUGCUCAGCUAAAACAGAAAGGAAGCACCCUGCAGAGCCCAGGAACACCGAGCAUGCAGCAGGGGUGCCCAGGAAAGGGGCUGAAUUUGCUUCUUUAGUAAAGACAUGGUGAAACCAUUGUUGAAGGUCAGCAGGAUGGUGGCAGAAGAUUUCCUGUGUAUGAUUUGUAGUCUGUUGGACAUUGUCAGAUUUGGACUUUGAGGACUUUAUCUUUGGGUUUGGAAGACUUAAGUUGGUUUUAAUAAUUGAGCCCAGACAUGUAACCAAAGUGCAGAAUCUGUGAAGUUCCCUGCUCAAGAGCCUGAGGGAGAAACUGAGGCAGAGCACUGCAGUGCCAGAUCUUGCUCUAAGGAGCUGAUACGUGAUGGUGGUCAGUGAUACUACUAACUGAAAGACUAAUCUACUUCAGCCCACCUGUCCUAGCUCUGAGAUGGAUACAACUGCCUAGGUAGAAAAUGGGUAACAUUCACUUCCAGUCAGUGGAGAACCUAGAGGAGACUCUGUCCAACAUACCCAUGUUCUUUAUCAGUGCAAAGGAGGUGGAUCUCUAGGUGUGAUCUGAAAGACAACCAUUUAGACCAGGAAAUGAAGAAAAUCCAGAUUCAAAAGAAACUACUGAGGCCAUCUGGGAGGUAAGAGAAAACAGCUGCAUCCACAAGGAGAGAGAAGAAAAGCGAAAACUGAAAAUGCAACUUCUAGCUGUGUCUUUCUUGCUUGCAACAUAGGUGCUGGGAAACCAGUGACAAGUCACAUGACUCUGUUAGACCCUCUGAGGGCUGGCAAACUUUUACCAAACUUGGGCUAAAACAUUGCACAGAGUUUUCCUUUUUAAUUGCAACAGUGUUGCAAAAGCUGUCUUGGCUGGCUAACCCAAACUCUUAUUAGACAAGAGGACAAAUAAGAUGGGGUAGGAAAGAUGACAUGCUCUGGUGAUGUUGAUAUCAAGAACCUCAAGCUCACAUCCCAGGAAGCUCAGGAUUCAGCUGAACACAUCGGAAGCAGAGAUGUUGUUUGGUACCCUCGCCUCACUUGAUCAGGAUGACUUUCAGGAUCAGAAAAGCAAAGGCCCAAUGGUGGGAAGAUAGAUGAGCAAGUUGGGGCUGGUGUCACCUAUGACCAUGAAGCAGAGCUUAGCACAAGCUGUUCAGUCUCAACUUGUCAAACUAGUUUAGCUGGAACAAGUUUCUCAGUGACUUCCAGAAAAGCAGUGGGCAAAA